This is a non-coding RNA of Plutella xylostella (diamondback moth), 1246 nucleotides long. The record is from RefSeq and is a predicted model, not a curated record. Lineage: Eukaryota; Metazoa; Arthropoda; Insecta; Lepidoptera; Plutellidae.
AAAGCAACUAAAGAUCUUUUUUAUUUUUUUUAUUUUAAUGAUGGUUACUUUUAAAAAUACAUACAGUAAUGAAUGUAACCAGUUAUAUUACAGACUUAUUUUGGGUUCUUAAUAUGUAGGUAAAUAAAAGAUGCCAAGACAAAUUUAUUUUAUUUUAAGUAUACAAAUCCACAUUAGAAACUACAUCAACACAAUCAUGUUAAAUUAUUUUAUAUUGUUAUAAGUAGGUAUGAUUAAAAUCACAAUGAUAUUUCUAAAUUUAUUAUUUAUCAAUCAGAAUAUGGAUACAAGUAACAGUUAAAAUCGAUAGCUUGAAUUAUAUCAUAGCUCUUUUAAGUAAGAGCAUACUUUAUUAAAUAAAACAGAAUAAAAUGUGAUCUACUAAUAAACCUAAACUUAAAUAGAACCUAUAAAUAUUAAAAUAUAUAUAAAUAAUAUAAUUGUUACGUUCACUUCACUCUCACUGCACUAACUCAUUGUUACUACUACUCGACAACAGGUGUCGCUAUUAUUACCGCUACUCGGCAACAGAUGGCGCCAUGUGUCCAAAGAGUUAAAAUAAAUACAGCUGUUUUCAUUUUUAUAAACAUACGUAUUCUUUAGGGUUUUAAUUUCUGUCUUGUUAAAUAUUCUGCUAAUUCAAUUAUUAAACUACAAUAUUGGAAAUAAUUAGUGCGCAUGGCAUUAAUGAAGGUCAAUGCGCAUAGUCAAAACAUUGCGCAUUCGCAUUCGAGUCGAUCGACCUGCGAACGGAACGGAACUGUCAGUGCUAACAAGAGCCUCUUCGUUUCGUUGUGCUGUUUUUGGUGCUGAGUGUUUGUAAAAAGUUACUAGCUUUUGGUUUUGUUUUGGUGCUUGUGUACAAUAGAAUUACAGAGGCAUGGCCCGGGGGCAGCGGCGGUAUUCCCGAAAAAAUAGGAAAGCUGAAAUUUAGAAGAAAAAAAAUAUUAAAUAAAGAUAUAAGAAGAGAUGUAAGAAGGCAAGCUGACAAUGGGAUGGUAUGUCUGCAAAGCCAAUCAUAAAGAACCAAAUAAACUGCUUAUGGGCUUAUGGUUAUAUUAAACCGAUUGCAUGUAUCUAUAUACUCUAAGCAUGUAUCAUAUUUGUUUUCUCAGCCUCACACUUUAACUCAGGUUCGCUGAAGCAUCGGCAAGCUGAAUGUGAGAUGGUAUGUUGAUGUCCUGUACAUUGACACGGAAAUGAGGCAUUGAAGAUGUUAUGUUGGGGACAAUGCAUGAUAGAACAG